This 2988-nucleotide long non-coding RNA is filed under the name Phaseolus vulgaris (common bean). Its description in RNAcentral is "long non-coding RNA (PVUL_LNC002537)". The record is from RNAcentral. Lineage: Eukaryota; Viridiplantae; Streptophyta; Magnoliopsida; Fabales; Fabaceae.
GAGUUUUCACCCUCAUUUGAAGGUUCUCUCUAUUUUAAAACUAAUUGUUAUGGAUUCCUGUGGUUUAGAUGAUUAAUUGCUAUUUGAAUUUGUUAACAUGAACCUUUGAUGAAUUUCACUAGAUUUUGGAGGUUCCAAUUUUCAAAACCGUGAUGAUUUGCAUAUCUAGAAAAUAAGUUUUUGAGUUGCGGGAGAUAUUUUGGCAAGCUACCUGCAGAGCUUUCUGCUAAUUUUGGAUUUUUGUUUGUUUGAGUAUUUGAGUGGAAUUAGGGUUUCGUUUCUGUCCUUGCCUAGGGUGGUAGAAGAAGCAGCUGACAUGUCUCUGUUUCUGGGGAAGAGAAGGUGGUUGAGUUCUGUGAGGUGGCAUGUCUCUAUUAAAAACUAUGAUUUUAUUUUACAUUUGUAUUUCGUUUUUGUUUUUGAGAAUUUAUAUACCUUCACUGUUUUCUCUCACACACUCCCACUCACCUAACACUCACAUAAUCUCACACUAUUCUCGUUUCACCUUUCAACCUCCCCUCACUCCCAAUGCAUGUGCUCUUAAUGCUAUCUGUUUACAUCUGUUUUGAAUGGGCAUACCCUUGCUAUCUGUUUUGUAGGGAUUAGUUAGAGUUCUUACUUGUGCUGCUCUAUCACUGCACCAUUUGGUACCAAUUUCAAAAACAAAGUGAGACCCACUGAUUUGUUUGAUUUAGAAUUAUAAAUUCGAAAAACACCAUGCCACCCAUUUUAAUGCAUGGGUACCAUCUGUACAGUCCUCUUUAUAUUUGCAUCGCAUUUUUAAAAGUGAAUGUUUUGAUAAAAUAAAAAAUAAAACAUAAGUAAAAAUAUAAAAUCUAAAAAUAUUUUCAAAAUUAAAAAAUCAACCAAAAAAUACUUUUUCUGAUUUAAAAAUAUCAAGAGAUUAUUUUGACACCUCCCUUUUUUUCUUCUUCAAUCUUAGCCUCUUAAUUGAAUUGCUGAUGCUUUUUGUUACUGGUUUCAGUAACAUUUACCAUUUUGAAAUUUGUGUAAUUUAGUACUGUGUAAUAUGGGACAAAACAGGAAAAAUAAGGAAACUAAUCCUGCUGAAGGAUCUAGUAAACCACAGCAGAAAAACAAGAAUACUCCACGAUCGGCUAAAUCUAAAAUUGAUAAGAAAAUCAAGGAUGCUAAGUUAAAAGCCAUGAUAAAUAAAGGUUUUCAACAGAUUGGGAAAAAGAGAAGGCUUAGAAAGAACAAAAAAGUAAUGGGCAAUAGUGAUGAACUGCCAAAAGACAAGAGUGAAGAGAAUGAAAGGAAUAACGAGAAGGCAGGUCAACAUAGGAGCAUCAUUAAUGAAAGAAGUCCUAUUGAGAAGAGCCAUCGGGCUGAAAAUAAUAAGAUCAUUAAGGUGGAUAAGAGUGAACAGAAGCAGAAGAAUACAGGGUCUGACCAAGGUGCUGGGAGUAGAAUAAACAAAAAUAAUCAUAGUGGUGCAGACAAUACCAAUUCCAGUGAAAAACAGAGACAAAAACUUGCUGGUUUCAUCUUUAUGUGUAGUGGGAAGACAAAACCUGACUGUUUCCACUAUCGCGUCAUGGGUGUUUCAGCUAUUAAGAAAGACAUUGUUCUAAGUAUCAAGCCUGGAACUAAGCUUUUUCUUUAUGAUUUUGAUCUGAGGCUGUUGUAUGGGAUUUAAAAAGCUUCAUCUUCUGGUGGUAUGAAACUCGAACCCCGAGCUUUUGGUGGUAGCUUUCCUGCUCAGGUUACUUGCUCUCAUCUACUUUUCCUAUCUAAUUUGUCCCAAUACUGUCUUUGUUUAUUAUGAGUCAUGUGCUGAUGGUGCAACCUUCAGGUGCGGUUCAAUGUUGUUUCUGAUUGUUUCCCACUACCAGAAAGCAUUUUCAAGAAGGCGAUCAAGGAAAAUUACAAUGAUAAACACAAGUUUAAAACAGAACUUACUCCUCGACAAGUGAGAACCAAAUAUGCCUCUGGUGGGCUAGUUUCAGUUUCUUUUAUUCUUCACCGUUGAUAUAUUCAAAUGUCACGUUUCAGGUUAGGAAGCUCACUGAACUUUUCCGACCAGUCGAUGUUCGUUCAGGCUUGCAGCCUGUUUGCUCACCUCCAAAAGCAACAUUUCGUGAUAGGAAGACUCUUGAUGAUGUUAGGGGAUUAUGGUCCCAUUUGCACAGGGAAGGUGAUCCCCUAAUUGAACGGCAAGAGGAAAUUCCUCGUGAUUUAUUUCUUACUGAGAAGAGUUACCGAGCUUAUGGUCUCCAAGGAGACCGAAGGAAUGUGAUACCAUCCUCCCAAGUUAAUCCUACACGGGAUCCUUAUGAGAGGGAUUAUGAAAGAGAACACCGUCAUCAUGUGGACCCUCUGUACAGUACAAUUGCCCCUUCCCACAGAGAAAGUCUUCAUGUAAAUAAUCGUCAUUUGAAUGAGAGUGAGCAUCAGACCAAUUUGCAUGGUGGAAUUUCUGAACAUGCAGAUGAUCCUUAUGACCCGUAUCACUAUGGUGCUUCACCAAGGGAUCCUUGUUUUUCACCUAGAGAGGAAAUCUCUUCAGGCUCUUAUUUGGCAGGGGGAAGAACCUUGAUUCAAAGUGAGAGUUUGCAAAGGAGAGAGGCUGUUCAAGAUAGGCUUCACUCAACAUAUUCUGCUGCUGAUGCUUUGUCUGAAUACAAUCGGAUGCAGCACUAUCAGGACAGUUUGGAAGCUUCUGCUGUGCCAGUUUCAUCCCGUUACUCUUUUGCUGGUCCUUCAUAUUCACUUCGCUAAAUCAAACAAGCACUUCUGAAAUCUUCCUUUAUAAUCUGUUACUUAAGGCUAAAAUCUAUUAUGGUGACUAAAACUCUGAAUUGGAAAGUGUCAUUUAUUCACUGUGUUUGAGAUUUGAUGUGCAAAGUGACAUUAAUAGUUAAUGACAAUUUCCCUUGCAGACACCAGUUGCUUUGUAACUUUUCACAAUUUGUCUUAUGGCUUAUUGGCAUGUGCUGCUUCGGCAGAUAGGAAGAUAAACAAGCA